CAAUAAUCAAUUGCAGUGCAUUGUUAACCUAUGAAUCUCUUUAAUCAAUGUUCCCAAGAAACACCUUGCUGAAAACUCAGUAGCACAGAGUGACCUUAAAAAAGAGUGCAUUAGCUGCUGACCACAUUAAUUAGUUUGUAUCUAGCUCAGCACUAGUCAAGGUUUGGGUUUUUUUCUACAAUCCACCGGCCACAUACAUUUUAUAUUAAACCUCACUUUUCCUGUGAAUUUGUAGGGGAUGACAUCACACAAUAUUCAGGACUUUUCAUCUCCAGCAGCGAGGGAUUUGCUGGUCGAUACACUCUGUUACAAAAGGUGACUUAUUGAUGCUGCCAGAUGAAAUGCUUGGCUGAUCUUCAGGAUAUCUUUCAGACAAUAUACAUUUACUCACCAAAGGAAAUCCUUCUAUUCAAUCACAGUCUCCAGAGAUGGAUGAGCUGGGUGUGGGUACAGCUUGCUGACAUUACCAAAGUUUUGCUUAUGCUGCAAACUGAUGAUCUUUGAGAACAUUCUCCUAAGAAAACUAAAAAUAUCACUCAUCCUGUGUUUUUAGCUUAAGCAGUGACUUGAUGUUUUUCUCUCUCUACGUUGAUCUUUUUCACUCCCACUGUAUAUACACAUAAAUGCACAAUGAACACUAUCCACAUUUGGACCAUUCCCUCAUCAAGUCUUGUCUAACUGUUCUCUUCAAUGCAUACAAACACUUGUACUUUAAUCCAAGAACCAUAUGUGAUCUUACUCUUUCUAUGCAUUCAGAUGAGUAACUAAAUAGCACUGCCUUCUAUAUCACGAUUCUCUCCCUGGAUAUCUACACCAAGGAAGGGUGAAAGACUGGCAGGACAUAAAAACCUGUACACAUUGAGGAGGUUUUCAAACUAGGUGAUAUGGUAAUCUUUCUCAUCAGUGUCAGCCUUAAAUUCAGAUGAAAGAAAACUGAUGGAUCAGUUCAGUUGUUUCUUCUCAUAAAACUCAUGGCAAUGAACACUAAAAGUGAAGGAAUAAUUUACCUACACAUAUACCCAUUAAACAUAAAUUUAAAGCCAUAAUCUCUAGGCUAGAAUUCUAUCGUCG
RNAcentral lists this long non-coding RNA (1071 nucleotides) under Coturnix japonica (Japanese quail). RNAcentral's name for it is "lncRNA (ENSCJPG00005008873.1)". Lineage: Eukaryota; Metazoa; Chordata; Aves; Galliformes; Phasianidae. The record is from RNAcentral.